Myodes glareolus (Bank vole) is the source of this 107-nucleotide small nuclear RNA. NCBI's taxonomy places the organism in Eukaryota, Metazoa, Chordata, Mammalia, Rodentia, Cricetidae. The record is from RefSeq and is a predicted model, not a curated record.
GUGCUCGCUUCGGCAGCACAUAUGCUAAAAUUGGAACAAGACAGAGAAGAUUAGCACGGCCCCUGAACAAGAAUAUAAAAUUAUACAAUGAAAAAAUGAAGUAUUUU